Molecule: microRNA precursor, 102 nt
Filed under: Pelobates cultripes (western spadefoot toad)
Lineage: Eukaryota; Metazoa; Chordata; Amphibia; Anura; Pelobatidae
Source: RNAcentral
UGUUUGUAUAGUGUGUGUAUAUAAUGCAGUGUGUUUGUGUAGUGUGCAUUAUAUAAACACACUACACAAACACACUGCAUUAUAUACACACACUACACACAC